Molecule: ribosomal RNA, 253 nt
Filed under: uncultured bacterium
Lineage: Bacteria
Description: partial 16S ribosomal RNA
Rfam family: Bacterial small subunit ribosomal RNA
Source: RNAcentral
UACGUAGGGUGCGAGCGUUAAUCGGAAUUACUGGGCGUAAAGGGCUCGUAGGCGGCCAACUAAGUCAGACGUGAAAUCCCUCGGCUUAACCGGGGAACUGCAUCUGAUACUGGAUGGCUUGAGAUUGGGAGAGGGAUGCGGAAUUCCAGGUGUAGCGGUGAAAUGCGUAGAUAUCUGGAGGAACACCGGUGGCGAAAGCGGCGAGCUGGAUCACUACUGACGCUGAGGAACGAAAGCUAGGGGAGCAAACAGG